GCGGAUAAUAUAGAAUCAAAAAAAUGCAUUGAUCAUUACAUGGAAUUCUAUUAAGAUAUUAUAUGAAAGUCGAAUUUAUUCCACUCUCAUUUGAGAGUGCGAAUACAAGGAGGUAUUUUGUGUUUGGGAAAGUCCGAAGAAAAAAGAUUUUGAAUCUGCCUUUUCCUUCUUUCCCUUAAAAAAAUAACUCAAGAAAAAUCCAAUUAUUUACUCUACAAGAAUGAAAUGCUUGUUAUGCCUAAUAUACUUAGUUUAACCUGUAUCUGUUUUAAUUCUGUUCUUUAUCCUACUAGUUUUUUCUUUGCCAAAUUACCCGAAGCUUAUGCUAUUUUCAAUCCAAUCGUGGAUAUUAUGCCUGUUAUACCUCUAUUCUUUUUUCUAUUAGCCUUUGUUUGGCAAGCUGCUGUAAGUUUUCGAUGAAAUCUUUAGUACUCUGUAUGCCAAAUUGAAUGAUGUGUUCAUUCCAAAAAAAAAUUAAAAUGGGUAAAAGCCGAGAAGUUUUAUAUUUUUAUAUUAUGAACCUUCGAUUCUCAAAUUUAAAUUCUUCUACAUUGAAUGGGUAGCUACAGCAAUAAAUUUGGAUCAGCCUUUCUACUCCCCUGCACCUAGGUUGAGCAGGUACCUACACAAUACCUAACCACCUAACCCUAUUUUUGCUAUUGAUAAGAGUGCUUAUUAUAAAUGAAUUCUUGCAAUUUUUUUCAAGAAUUCAUUUUUUCAUUUUAGGUAUCAAAAAAAAACCAUCCUAGUGGAUCCGUGUGGUAAGGAAAAACUGGUAAUCUAUUCCUUAAAAAAAAUCUUGGAGAUUAUGUAAUGCUUACUCUCAAACUUUUUGUUUAUACAGUAGUGAUAUUCUUUGUUUCACUCUUUAUCUUUGGAUUCUUAUCUAAUGACCCAGGACGGAAUCCUGGACGCGAGGAGUAA
This 924-nucleotide ribosomal RNA is filed under the name Triticum aestivum (bread wheat). RNAcentral's name for it is "partial small subunit ribosomal RNA". The record is from RNAcentral. Lineage: Eukaryota; Viridiplantae; Streptophyta; Magnoliopsida; Poales; Poaceae.